Pseudopipra pipra is the source of this 1749-nucleotide long non-coding RNA. RefSeq lists it as uncharacterized. Lineage: Eukaryota; Metazoa; Chordata; Aves; Passeriformes; Pipridae. The record is from RefSeq and is a predicted model, not a curated record. The transcript has 2 exons.
CCAAAGCUCUGGCAUCUUGGAAGGGUUUUUCCCUUUGUCUCAUUUUCCUUUUUUCCAGAUCUGACUUAAAACAGAGAUCAGGAUGACUCUCAGCAAGCAAAGAUCCCAUGACUGUUUCCCCAAGAGCCAGUAUAUUAGUCCUUGCAUCCUGGCCAUAUUCCAGCUCGGGAAAUUACCUUCUGCCUCCCUAAAUCCCCCCUGCGGUUUCAAUUGGAUACAGGCUUCUUCGCUCUCUUGCCGAAACUGCUGCGCAGGGUUGCUGUGUGCGGUUAAGCAGCUGCUGUCAGAGAACCAUGACUAGCACACACCAAGAUGGAUUUUGCUUCGUUUUCCAGUACAUCAGCUGGCUGGCCAGACACCAGCUGCUGGAGCAUCAGUGUGCUCGUGCACCUGGAGAACACGUGCUCUUCUCACAGGCAUGUUGAGGCAUGGGAUCCACCUCCCCCCUGGCUAGCCCUCUUGUCUUUGCAGAAUAGCUAUGGACUUUUGGCCAUUUCAGGACUUGUCCCUCUGGGAACAGCUGUGGGGGCCCCAUGUGGGAUGGUACGCCUGCAGUAUGAUGUUCUGAGCAGAAAGGGGUAGUGGCACAGUGUGGGACCCUGCCCAGAGGAAGGGCCCUGCUCUUCCCUCAGCCCAAUACAGCCCACAGUAGGACCCCUUUCACAAGCCCUCAUGCUGGGGAAGACACCAUCAUGGUCCAUCUACAGUCACCCAACACUGGAGCAAAUCCCAGGAGUCAACAACCCUGGAACAGGAAUCCCAGAGGUCUCCAGACUGAAGUUGUUCAACCUUGAGUUAAAAAUGCAACACUGUCAACCAGCCAGGCUUUGCAUUGUUCCUGUUGCCAGAAUCUAUAUAAGCAAAUUACUUUGCUGUCAGGAAUACAACAGGAGACAGAGAGAGAAAUCUCCUGCCCAGGCACUCUGGAGACAGACUCGCAAUAUUCUGAGUAAUGCAGCCAUCUCACUGACAUCCCCUGACAUCAGGGAAAUACAAAAAAACCCAACAAACCCCUAACAGAAAACCUUUAGUCAUUUAGUAGAUGUGAUUUGUGGAUGAACUAUAAUAUACAGUGAAAGGUGGGGACGAGGAUGGCCUUUAAUGAAUUGUCUUGGAGGAAAUCUCGCAUGUUUGCUUAUGUGUCAAGGGGAGGCAUUUAUAUAAAUAUACACACAUUUACACACACAUCUGUUAAACAGUCUUCCUAUGUGUCCUAGGUGUGCAUAUAGAAAUAUAUACAUCUGUGCAUGUGCCUCUGCUGUGAGCAAGAGAGCUGCCAGGAGCAGUAAAAUUUCAAUCCAGCGUGCAGAAAGCGACAGGGCCUGCGGACAGGAGCUCAGCCCUCUCUUCUGCCCAUGAAUCACAGCCCACGGAUGAGGAUCAGGGCGGACGUCAACUCUGGUGCCAGCUUGCUCUUCUUCCCUGGCUCCUCUGGCUGGAUUCCCUCCCCUCCUUGCCUCCCCCUCUCCCCUAUUCUCUACCCCCCUUUCCUUUCCCAGCAGGAUGACAUUCAUCCAUCAUCCAGCAUUUUAAGUGCUGGCAUGUCAUUGAGGCUGUCAGCCGUCCUCUUUGCUCAGCGCAAGGAGCUCCACUUGGCGGCUUGGUGCGACCGUUUCCCUUUGGAGCCUGUAAUCCUCCUGUUCGGGUUAGUUCCACUUGGUUUCACAGAGUGCAGAGUGAGGGGAACCCGGUGGGAUAGCAGUAGAUUAUAUCAAAUAAUAAAGAGAGCACUUGCUCUAAUAACUCCAA